This 174-nucleotide non-coding RNA is filed under the name Fusobacterium naviforme. RNAcentral describes it as "6S RNA". It matches the Rfam family "6S / SsrS RNA". From Rfam's summary of the family: E. coli 6S RNA was the first non coding RNA to be sequenced, but its function was unknown until recently. It consists of 184 nucleotides that fold into an extended hairpin structure with a large single-stranded internal bulge. Lineage: Bacteria; Fusobacteriati; Fusobacteriota; Fusobacteriia; Fusobacteriales; Fusobacteriaceae. RNAcentral also lists the same sequence under 1 other name. The record is from RNAcentral.
CAGCACCUGGAAUGUUCGACAAUCUUACCAAUUUUGAACCUGCAAAUAUAUGACAGGGAGACCUUAUUCCCGCUCGGAUGUCAGGCCGCCGCGAGCGGAAGGCAGAUGUUCGGGUGCGGUCACCCACCUGGCUAUGCCAGGCGUCAAUAAGUAAGACCGGCAUUUUGGGGCUGC